GAGGGUGUAGCUCAGUGAUAGAGUGCUUGCUUAGCAUGCACGAGGUCCUGGGUUCAAGCCCCAGUGCCUCCA
RNAcentral lists this transfer RNA (72 nucleotides) under Camelus bactrianus (Bactrian camel). It matches the Rfam family "tRNA". Rfam says of the family: Transfer RNA (tRNA) molecules are approximately 80 nucleotides in length. RNAcentral also lists the same sequence under 2 other names. The record is from Rfam by way of RNAcentral. Lineage: Eukaryota; Metazoa; Chordata; Mammalia; Artiodactyla; Camelidae.